Molecule: ribosomal RNA, 253 nt
Filed under: uncultured bacterium
Lineage: Bacteria
Description: partial 16S ribosomal RNA
Rfam family: Bacterial small subunit ribosomal RNA
Source: RNAcentral
UACAGAGGUCCCAAGCGUUGUUCGGAUUCACUGGGCGUAAAGGGUGCGUAGGUGGUGAGGUAAGUCGGAUGUGAAAUCUCCGAGCUCAACUCGGAAAUGGCAUUGGAAACUACCUUGCUCGAGGGUUGGAGGGGGGACCGGAAUGCUUGGUGUAGCAGUGAGAUGCGUAGAUAUCAAGCGGAACACCAGUGGCGAAGGCGAGUCCCUGGACAACUCCUGACACUGAGGCACGAAAGCUAGGGGAGCAAACAGG